AUUGAACGCUGGCGGCAUGCCUUACACAUGCAAGUCGAACGGUAACGGGCCUUCGGGUGCCGACGAGUGGCGAACGGGUGAGUAAUACAUCGGAACGUGCCCGCACGUGGGGGAAAACGAGGCGAAAGCUUUGCUAAUAGCGCAUACGAUCUACGGAUUAAAUCAGGGGACCGCAAGGCCCUGCGCGGACGGUGCGGCCGAUGGCGGACUAGGUAGUUCGUGGGAUAAAAGCUUACCAAGCCGACGAACCGUACCUGGACUGAGAGGAUGAUCAGCCACACUAGAGCUGAGACACGGCCACGGCUCCUAAGGGAGGCAGCAGUGGGGAAUUUUCGACAAUGGGCGAAAGCCUGAUCCAGCCAUGCCGCGUGCAGGAUGAAGGCCUUCGGGUUGUAAACUGCUUUUGUACGGAACGAAAAGCCUUCUUUUAAUACAGGAGGGUCAUGACGGUACCGUAGGAAUAAGCACCGGCUAACUACGUG
Molecule: ribosomal RNA, 482 nt
Filed under: uncultured bacterium
Lineage: Bacteria
Description: partial 16S ribosomal RNA
Rfam family: Bacterial small subunit ribosomal RNA
Source: RNAcentral